UUGCCCUACGGAGUGCUCAGGUCCGCCGCAUCUCCUGUAGCGCCGUGGGGUUCGGCCGGCCGGUGAGCGGUGAGAGUGGCCUCCUCAAGACACCGCUCCCGGCCGGCCAUUUC
This 113-nucleotide small RNA is filed under the name Rhodovulum sp. PH10. RNAcentral's name for it is "EcpR1". It matches the Rfam family "EcpR1". From Rfam's summary of the family: Perviously named SmelC291, SmrC10, or Sra33. Lineage: Bacteria; Pseudomonadati; Pseudomonadota; Alphaproteobacteria; Rhodobacterales; Paracoccaceae. The record is from Rfam by way of RNAcentral.